AGGUUAUGUUCUUAGUUUUUCAUUGGCUCCAUAUGUGGUCUAUCCUCCAGAAGCUAGGCAACAACUACGGCGUCGGCAUCCUCACCGAUUUGACGACAUAGAGACUUUUAUUUCCGAACGUCGACAUCAAGAUGGAGCUAGUGUCGCCGCCAUAGAAUAAUUUUCUCCGGUCUCUUCUCCAUUUUAUCGUGGUUAGAUCACACCAUGAUAAAGGACUAGAGAGAAUAAGUUUGAGAUCAGUCUUUCUCAUUCUUCGGUGGCAGAAAGAAGAAGAAAGACACCAGAAGGAAGAAGUUUCUCAACUCCACCUACAUGAAUGUUGGCCGUCGUUCGUUGGGCAUAUGUUCUCAGGCCUUUUGCCAAGUGUUUGCCUAUGCGGUCAUCCAUACUGCAAAGCGUCGUAUAGGUUUGGUUUUGAGAACUAUUCACAACUUGGUAUUAUUUAGAUGAUUUUUUUCUAGAUAUUUAUGUAAUCCAGAGUGCUUGUAUUCAUGUACUCAGCUAUUAUUUAAUA
Long non-coding RNA from Sorghum bicolor (sorghum), 514 nucleotides. RefSeq lists it as uncharacterized. The transcript is spliced from 2 exons. The record is from RefSeq and is a predicted model, not a curated record. Lineage: Eukaryota; Viridiplantae; Streptophyta; Magnoliopsida; Poales; Poaceae.